UUGACCUCAAAUCAGGUAGGACUACCCGCUGAACUUAAGCAUAUCAAUAAGCGGAGGAAAAGAAACUAACAAGGAUUCCCCUAGUAACUGCNNNUGAAGCGGGAAAAGCUCAAAUUUAAAAUCUGGUAGUCUUUGGCUGCCCGAGU
This 146-nucleotide ribosomal RNA is filed under the name Entoloma piceinum. RNAcentral's name for it is "partial 28S ribosomal RNA". It matches the Rfam family "Eukaryotic large subunit ribosomal RNA", at positions 1 to 143 of the family's 3401-position model. The record is from RNAcentral. Lineage: Eukaryota; Fungi; Basidiomycota; Agaricomycetes; Agaricales; Entolomataceae.